RNAcentral lists this ribosomal RNA (502 nucleotides) under uncultured bacterium. RNAcentral's name for it is "partial 16S ribosomal RNA". It matches the Rfam family "Bacterial small subunit ribosomal RNA", at positions 28 to 507 of the family's 1533-position model. The record is from RNAcentral.
GACGAACGCUGGCGGCGUGCCUAAUACAUGCAAGUCGAACGAACCGCGACUAAGUGCUUGCACUAAGUCAAGGUGAGUGGCGAACGGGUGAGUAACACGUGGGUAACCUACCUCAUAUUGGGGGAUAACAGUGGGAAACAACUCCUAAUACCGCCAAGGACAUAGAAUCAAAUGAUCCAGUGCGGAAAGGUGGCGCAAGCUAUCGCUAUGAGUUGGACCCGCGGUGCAUUAGCUAGUUGGUAGGGUAAAGGCCUACCAAGGCGAUGAUGCAUAGCCGCCCUGUGAGGGUGAUCGGCCACAUUGGGACUGGGACACGGCCCAAACUACUACGGGAGGCAGCAGUAGGGAAUCUUCCGCAAUGGACGCAAGACUAACGGAGCAACGCCGAGUGAGUGAAGAAGGGCUUCGGAUCUUAAAGCGCUGUUGUUAGGGAAGAACAGCGCAUAGAGUACCUGCGAUGGGUGUGACGGUAUCUAACCAGAAAGCCACGGCUAACUACGUG